This 253-nucleotide ribosomal RNA is filed under the name uncultured bacterium. Its description in RNAcentral is "partial 16S ribosomal RNA". It matches the Rfam family "Bacterial small subunit ribosomal RNA", at positions 524 to 776 of the family's 1533-position model. The record is from RNAcentral.
UACGAAGGGUGCAAACGUUGCUCGGAAUCACUGGGCGUAAAGGGUGCGUAGGCGGGUCUUUAAGUCAGGGGUGAAAUCCUGGAGCUCAACUCCAGAACUGCCUUUGAUACUGAGGAUCUUGAGUUCGGGAGAGGUGAGUGGAACUGCGAGUGUAGAGGUGAAAUUCGUAGAUAUUCGCAAGAACACCAGUGGCGAAGGCGGCUCACGGGCCCGAUACUGACGCUGAGGCACGAAAGCGUGGGGAGCAAACAGG